GUAAACGGCGGCCGUAACUAUAACGGUCCUAAGGUAGCGAAAUUCCUUGUCGGGUAAGUUCCGACCCGCACGAAAGGUGUAAUGAUUUGGGCACUGUCUCAACAAAGGAUCCGGUGAAAUUGUAGUAGUCGUGAAGAUGCGACUUACCCACGAUAGGACGGAAAGACCCCGUGGAGCUUUACUGUAGGCUGGCAUUGGAAUUUGGUAUUAAAUGUACAGGAUAGGUGGGAGACUAAGAAGCGAGAGCGCCAGUUUUCGUGGAGUCAACGUUGGGAUACCACUCUUUUGAUACUAAAUUUCUAACUUGAUACUCUGAAGCGAGUAUAAGGACACUGUCAGUUGGGCAGUUUGACUGGGGCGGUCGCCUCCUAAAGAGUAACGGAGGCGUUCAAAGGUUCCCUCAGAAUGGUUGGAAAUCAUUUGCAGAGUGUAAAGGCACAAGGGAGCUUGACUGUGAGACCUACAAGUCGAGCAGGUGCGAAAGCAGGACUUAGUGAUCCGGUGGUUCCGCAUGGAAGGGCCAUCGCUCAACGGAUAAAAGCUACCCUGGGGAUAACAGGCUUAUCUCCCCCAAGAGUUCACAUCGACGGGGAGGUUUGGCACCUCGAUGUCGGCUCGUCUCAUCCUGGGGCUGGAGUAGGUCCCAAGGGUUGGGCUGUUCGCCCAUUAAAGAGGCACGCGAGCUGGGUUCAGAACGUCGUGAGACAGUUCGGUCCCUAUCCAUCGUGGGCGUAGGAAAUUUGAGAGGAGCUGUCCUUAGUACGAGAGGACCGGGAUGGACAGACCGCUGGUGUAUCAGUUAUCAUGCCAAUGGUAAUGCUGAAUAGCUAAGUCUGGAAGGGAUAAGUGCUGAAGGCAUCUAAGCACGAAGCCCCCCUCAAGAUGAGAUUUCCUGUUGCAGCAAUGCAAGAGAGAUUCGAUACAGAAAAUGUCGUAGAUAGGUCAGAGGUGUAAAGGUGGCAACAUCAAAGCUAACUGAUACUAAUAAAUCGAAAGCUUGACCAG
RNAcentral lists this ribosomal RNA (1005 nucleotides) under human metagenome. RNAcentral describes it as "bacterial LSU rRNA". It matches the Rfam family "Bacterial large subunit ribosomal RNA", at positions 1923 to 2925 of the family's 2925-position model. The record is from RNAcentral.